This 197-nucleotide ribosomal RNA is filed under the name uncultured bacterium. Its description in RNAcentral is "partial 16S ribosomal RNA". It matches the Rfam family "Bacterial small subunit ribosomal RNA", at positions 329 to 539 of the family's 1533-position model. The record is from RNAcentral.
AGCUCGACACCUACGGGAGGUAGCAGUGGGGAAUAUUGCACAAUGGGGGAAACCCUGAUGCAGCGACGCCGCGUGAAGGAAGAAGUAUCUCGGUAUGUAAACUUCUAUCAGCAGGGAAGAAAAUGACGGUACCUGACUAAGAAGCCCCGGCUAAUUACGUGCCAGCAGCCGCGGUAAUCUGAGCGGGCUGGCAAGGC